UACAGGGGGUGCAAACGUUGCUCGGAAUCAUGGCGUAAAGCGCACGUAGGCGGUCUGUUAUGUCGGGAUGUGAAGCCCUCGGCUCAACUGAGGAAGUGCAUCCGAAACUGGCAGGCUAGAGUACUAAAGGAGGGUCGCGGAAUUCCCGGUGUAGAGGUGAAAUUCGUAGAUAUCGGGAGGGAACACCGGUGGCGAAGGCGGCGACCUGGGUAGAUACUGACGCUGAGGUGCGAAAGCGUGGGGAGCAAACAGG
RNAcentral lists this ribosomal RNA (253 nucleotides) under uncultured bacterium. Its description in RNAcentral is "partial 16S ribosomal RNA". It matches the Rfam family "Bacterial small subunit ribosomal RNA", at positions 524 to 776 of the family's 1533-position model. The record is from RNAcentral.